This 189-nucleotide long non-coding RNA is filed under the name Microcebus murinus (gray mouse lemur). RNAcentral describes it as "lncRNA (ENSMICG00000048315.1)". Lineage: Eukaryota; Metazoa; Chordata; Mammalia; Primates; Cheirogaleidae. The record is from RNAcentral.
CCACGGGCGCGGACACGCGCGGACACACACGUGCGGGACACGCCCUCCCCCGACGGCGGAGCUCGCGGCUAGGUUGUUCCAGGACCCUUGGAGACCCAAGGAAAGCCGUGCUGACCGAAAGCAAGACAAAUGACUCGCAGAGAAAAACGAUGGUGGAACCCAGGGCAAUUAGAGGUAAAACAAACACCC